Molecule: ribosomal RNA, 497 nt
Filed under: uncultured bacterium
Lineage: Bacteria
Description: partial 16S ribosomal RNA
Rfam family: Bacterial small subunit ribosomal RNA
Source: RNAcentral
GAUGAACGCUGGCGGCGUGCCUAAUACAUGCAAGUCGAGCGAACAGACGAGGAGCUUGCUCCUCUGACGUUAGCGGCGGACGGGUGAGUAACACGUGGAUAACCUACUUAUAAGACUGGGAUAACUUCGGGAAACCGGAGCUAAUACCGGAUAAUAUAUUGAACCGCAUGGUUCAAUAGUGAAAGAUGGUUUUGCUGUUACUUAUAGAUGGUUCCGCGCCGCAUUAGCUAGUUGGUAAGGUAACGGCUUACCAAGGCGACGGUUCGUAGCCGACCUGAGAGGGUGAUCGGCCACACUGGAACUGAGACACGGUCCAGACGCCUACGGGAGGCAGCAGUAGGGAAUCUUCCGCAAUGGGCGAAAGCUUGACGGAGCAACGCCGCGUGAGUGAUGAAGGUCUUCGGAUCGUAAAACUCUGUUAUUAGGGAAGAACAAAUGUGUAAGUAACUAUGCACGUCUUGACGGUACCUAAUCAGAAAGCCACGGCUAACUACGUG